UGGGUCCCGCUCUCCACUGCCGACGACCACGGCGACGCCGUCAAUCGUCAUCCCGAGGAGCCGCCCUGUAGGAAUUUUCGAUACGUUCUGGAUCAGUUGAGGUAUCAGCUUUUGGGUUUUCUUUGGAAGAGGCAAGAAGACGGUGGUAUUGUGUUUUUCCUGAAGCGUACGGCAAGUAAAGUUUCAAGGAAGACGGCCAGUGGAAAUUGGUAGAUGAUCUAAAUUAGGUAAUUAUGGAGGCCAUGAUGACUGGUGUGAUAUAUGCAACUCUCAGGGUCAGAUGGAAGAUCAAAUGGAAUCACUUUGCCCACAUUUAGCUGCUAAAUUUAUUUAUUUAUUUAUUGGUGAAUUCAAGGACUUGCAAAUGCUGGAAAAACCUGGUUUGUGCAAUAGAUCAGUCAUGCAAAUUGCUUUUC
This is a long non-coding RNA of Musa acuminata subsp. malaccensis (wild Malaysian banana), 416 nucleotides long. RefSeq lists it as uncharacterized. The record is from RefSeq and is a predicted model, not a curated record. Lineage: Eukaryota; Viridiplantae; Streptophyta; Magnoliopsida; Zingiberales; Musaceae.